This 217-nucleotide long non-coding RNA is filed under the name Elaeis guineensis (African oil palm). Its description in RNAcentral is "long non-coding RNA (EGUI_LNC063988)". Lineage: Eukaryota; Viridiplantae; Streptophyta; Magnoliopsida; Arecales; Arecaceae. The record is from RNAcentral.
AGGACCUUGAUCAAUUUUUGUUUGGAUCACCAUUGGAGGACUUCUAUUUUGGAGUCUCAUUGAGAUCACCUUCUUAUCAUACUGCUCGUUGGAGAAAGUAUAAAUUUUUAUCUCUUUGCAUGCUUGAUUUUGUUUUGUUCGACAUCUACAAGGUGAUUCUAGGAUUUUGAUUUUGGUUUGACAGUUUUAAUUGUUAAAACUUUUGAUAUAUAUAUUU